CAGCAGCCGCGGUAAUACGAAGGGGGCUAGCGUUGUUCGGAUUUACUGGGCGUAAAGCGCACGUAGGCGGAUCGAUCAGUCAGGGGUGAAAUCCCAGAGCUCAACUCUGGAACUGCCUUUGAUACUGUUUGGCUUGAGUUCGGGAGAGGUGAGUGGAAUUCCCAGUGUAGAGGUGAAAUUCGUAGAUAUUGGGAAGAACACCAGUGGCGAAGGCGGCUCACUGGACCGACACUGACGCUGAGGCGCGAAAGCGUGGGGAGCAAACAGGAUUAGAUACCCCCGUAGUCCCUGUCUCUUAUAC
Molecule: ribosomal RNA, 301 nt
Filed under: uncultured bacterium
Lineage: Bacteria
Description: partial 16S ribosomal RNA
Rfam family: Bacterial small subunit ribosomal RNA
Source: RNAcentral